Vigna umbellata (rice bean) is the source of this 288-nucleotide non-coding RNA. The record is from RefSeq and is a predicted model, not a curated record. NCBI's taxonomy places the organism in Eukaryota, Viridiplantae, Streptophyta, Magnoliopsida, Fabales, Fabaceae.
UACUCCUACAAUUCACAUUAGCCCAAUAACGAAUUUCUUUCUUCCUUGAAUGCUUUCUUUUAUUUAUUUUUUACUUUUAAAUGGAUAUUCUAAGAGGAGGGGACAAUGGAAAGCUGCAACACAAUCCCAGGAGUUCUUUAGGACUCUUAAACGAUAUUACAACAAUGCUUACAUGAUACUGAGAAGAAAAAUGCAAUUAACAUGUAUGUGGCACGUUGUAUUUCUUAACUAUUUAUUGAUUUUUACUUUAAUUGUUUGUGUACGGUAAUACCAUUUCCAUAUAUUUUU